This 460-nucleotide ribosomal RNA is filed under the name uncultured bacterium. Its description in RNAcentral is "partial 16S ribosomal RNA". It matches the Rfam family "Bacterial small subunit ribosomal RNA", at positions 338 to 795 of the family's 1533-position model. The record is from RNAcentral.
CCUACGGGAGGCAGCAGUGAGGAAUAUUGGUCAAUGGGCGGGAGCCUGAACCAGCCAAGUAGCGUGAAGGAUGAAUGCCCUACGGGUUGUAAACUUCUUUUAUAAAGGAAUAAAGUGAGGCACGUGUGCCUUUUUGUAUGUACUGUAUGAAUAAGGAUCGGCUAACUCCGUGCCAGCAGCCGCGGUAAUACGGAGGAUCCGAGCGUUAUCCGGAUUGAUGGGGUUUAAAGGGCGCGUAGAUGGGUUGUUAAGUCAGUUGUGAAAGUUUGCGGCUCAACCGUAAAAUUGCAAUUGAGACCGGCAGCCUUGAGUACAGUUGAGGUAGGCGGAAUUCGUGGUGUAGCGGUGAAAUGCUUAGAUAUCACGAAGAACCCCGAUUGCGAAGGCAGCUUACUACACUGCCACUGACAUUGAUGCUCGAAAGUGUGGGUAUCAAACAGGAUUAGAUACCCUUGUAGUC